AAUUGUUAUCUUCAAAUUAAUAGCCCUAAAAGAUAGAAUAUCAACAUAUAAGCAGUUUACCUUUUCAGUUUUGCCAAAGUAGCCUCCUUUUCACUGAAUUUCUUAUAUUUUGUAAAUAUUUAAAUAGAUUGAGAGCUAUAUCAUUUUUAAAGAAGAUCUCCACGUGCCUUUGAAAAGGUUAGUGCUCUUUAUAUUAGAAAUAGUCACUUCUUUCCAAUGGGGAUAUCUCAUCUCUCUUGCUACAUAUAAAUUGUUAGCUGACUGCCCACGUUUAUAAUUAAUUUGGUGUGUUUUCAAAACAUUUGCUUCAUAGCAGAUUAGACUUUCCUGAUGGCUCUCCAUGGGAUAAAAUUUCACACACUAUUGUUUUUCUCAAAUGUAGUCAGCACACAUGUCCUAGAAGAGAUUAUCCUAAUUGUCUAUUCUGACCUAAUAUUUGUGGGCAGAAAUUUUUAGCAAAUGAUGGCUCUUGAUGACAUCAUCUGAACAUGCUCAGCUUAUUUUCUCAUCUUUGAGGGAUACUCUUUUCUUUUUUUUUUUUUUUGUAGCAGUGGAAAUUUAUG
This 563-nucleotide long non-coding RNA is filed under the name Marmota monax (woodchuck). The record is from RNAcentral. Lineage: Eukaryota; Metazoa; Chordata; Mammalia; Rodentia; Sciuridae.